Long non-coding RNA from Prinia subflava (tawny-flanked prinia), 301 nucleotides. RefSeq lists it as uncharacterized. The transcript is spliced from 3 exons. The record is from RefSeq and is a predicted model, not a curated record. NCBI's taxonomy places the organism in Eukaryota, Metazoa, Chordata, Aves, Passeriformes, Cisticolidae.
AGGAUUUGAUGCUGACUUUUGAAAUUAAUGAUUUUGAUAGGACUGAAACAGAACUUUGAAGAGAGGAAUAAAUGAGCAGUUACUGAUGAGUUCUCCUCCAUUUAAAUCCUGUGACAUGAUCCACAGCAUCACACUUAAGAAUUUAAAAACACUCAAUCACGCCUUUGAACUAUAUGGGAAAAGAUUUUUAUUAUAUUCAAGGUGAUCUGGAAGAACAGAUAAGAAAGAAAAAUUGUCUAUGGCUAUAUAUCCAGCUAUCCAAGAUGGUUGCUCCUUCUUGUUAAUGCAACUGCAAGAACCA